UUAUAUGUUUGUUUAUUUAAUUCUUCUUUCAGUUUACAAAUUAAAUUAAAUUAAAAUUAAAUACUUAUGUAUUUAUAAUAUAAAUCAACAUUGUUUUACUUUGAUAAUAUGUAUGUUGUAGCAACUUCAUUUAUAAGAGUAAUAGCUACAAAUUGAAAUAUGUUAUAAUUGUAUAUUGUGGAUACAGAUGUUAUAAUGAAUUUCUCAAUCUAAAAAAAUAUAAGUGAAACUAGUUUACUUGGAACAUACAAUAUUAUGCUGUAUUGAUCAAUAUCAACAUUUUACGUUAUUAGUUGACACUUGAGGUAAUUUAUUUUUUUAUUGUCUUGAAAAGUUAUAAUUGUAUUUAGAAAUAAGCUGUAUAAACCAAUUUGCACUUUGAAUGUAAUAAUUAGUAAAUGUACUCUUUAAACUUAAUGUCAGAAGUGUCACUAAGUACAUACUCUUGUAAUUUUUUAAUUGUACUCGUUUAAAGUAUUUUGUACUAUGGUUGUAAUGAAACCUUAAUUAAUUGAUAAAUUUUUCAUAAGUUAAGGUUUUAUUACAUUCAUUUUAUUUUAGUUAUCUAAGUUAAUUCAUUACUCAUUGUACUAACAACCAAACUGUUUUACUUGUAUUUUAAAUUUUAUUUUACUAGUUAGUUUACAUUUUCAUCUUAUGUAACUUGUUUUACCUUUAUAUUGUGAGUGAAUUAUGUAAAUUAGAAUAGAAAAUAGUAAAUUAUGUAAAUUAGAAUAAAAUUCAAUUUAUUUAAAGUUUAUUAUGAAAAUGUAUCACAUAAAACUGAGUCAAGAUAAAAUUAUACAAAGACACCUUAUGACAUUGUACUAAGAAAUGUCAGUUGAGUGUUUCCGAGUUGAAAAGUGUAAUUUGAAGAUUAUCAAGGUAAAUAACUCACUAUAAAAUAUUUUAGUUGCUGCCAAUUAAGUACUGUAUUGUAUGCUUAACUUGAGUGAAUGCCCUGCUAUGUAAUAUACAUUUAAGUGCAACAUUUACACACUACAUAGAACAAAGAUAUUGUUAAAAAACAAUAAACUUGUAGAAAUUUAAAAAAAAAAAAGAAAAAAAAAUACUAAAGAAACCAGAAAUACAGGACAGAAAAAUUAAAAAAGAAUAAAACUAAAAAAAGACUACAAAAUGGUCCUAAUAAUUUAAUCUGCACAAGAACAUAAACACUAUACAAAAAGACUGCUGAAAAUUAUUCUACUAAAAUGUGUUCUUUUGAUAAAGAAAAGACAUAACAGCAAAGUAAGGCAGGCCAAUAAAGUCCAAAGACUAUAACACAUAUUUAUAAGCACUGUUAUAUACAAAUAAACUAUACAAAAUCAUGUAUUACAAUUCAAGGAGGCAAUUAAACAAGAAUAAUAAAUAUAAAUUAAAGUAAUCAAGGGCCAAUGUAAACAUCAAAAUAAAAUUUAACACAAUGAAGAAAUAGUUUAACUAGAAAGUCAAUGAAGGAUUUGGUGUAUAAAGUAUUGAACACCGGAUGUUGAGUAUCAAUAUGCUCCUAGGCAAAUUGACUAUUGGAACUUUUUUUCACCAGAUUUGAGUAUGACACGCCAGCCACUCCUUCAAACACCCCUACAGAUCCAAGCCACACAUUUGGUGUCAACACGCCGGCCCCUCCUACAAACACCCCCCCAUGGCGACGCCGCACGCUCCGAUCGGCUGCCUGACAAAGGCGCAGGUCGAUUGGGAAUCCUCAAGAAUGUGUUUUACAGCGGGUGCAAGGUCACAGAA
This is a long non-coding RNA of Bicyclus anynana (squinting bush brown), 1740 nucleotides long. RefSeq lists it as uncharacterized. Lineage: Eukaryota; Metazoa; Arthropoda; Insecta; Lepidoptera; Nymphalidae. The record is from RefSeq and is a predicted model, not a curated record. The transcript has 3 exons.